UGACGGUACCUGACUAAGAAGCUCCGGCUAAAUACGUGCCAGCAGCCGCGGUAAUACGUAUGGAGCAAGCGUUAUCCGGAUUUACUGGGUGUAAAGGGAGCGUAGACGGCUGUGCAAGUCUGGAGUGAAAGGCAGGGGCUCAACCCCUGGACUGCUUUGGAAACUGUAUGGCUUGAGUGCCGGAGGGGUAAGCGGAAUUCCUAGUGUAGCGGUGAAAUGCGUAGAUAUUAGGAGGAACACCAGUGGCGAAGGCGGCUUACUGGACGGUAACUGACGUUGAGGCUCGAAAGCGUGGGGAGCAAACAGGAUUAGAUACCCUG
RNAcentral lists this ribosomal RNA (320 nucleotides) under uncultured bacterium. RNAcentral describes it as "bacterial SSU rRNA". It matches the Rfam family "Bacterial small subunit ribosomal RNA", at positions 470 to 789 of the family's 1533-position model. The record is from RNAcentral.